Molecule: long non-coding RNA, 837 nt
Filed under: Brachypodium distachyon (stiff brome)
Lineage: Eukaryota; Viridiplantae; Streptophyta; Magnoliopsida; Poales; Poaceae
Description: long non-coding RNA (BDIS_LNC003506)
Source: RNAcentral
GCGGGGAACUCCUAGCUCCGGUGAGCAAUUGCGGCAGAGUGGUGUGGGGGAAAAGAGAGAGGGGGAGGUCCCUUUUAUAGUGACGCGGGAGGGGUGCUUAAUGGCGGCUCUAAAUCGCGAAAUGAAGGCGGGGAUGUAAUGGCGGCCGGUGCUAGAUUCCCGGUCGAAGGGUUGAAGACGACUGACAGGUGGGCCCCACCUGUCAGCGACUGUUCGACAAGGGGCGGCGGCGCUGGGCUGGGCCGGCUGCUGGGCUGGCUCGCCCAAGUUGGCCGGGCCAGUCCGGUUUUAUUUUUUUUGUUCUUUUUCUAUUUUUCCUUUAUAUCUUUUGAUUUUCAACUCCAAAUGACCUCAAAUAAAUUCCAGAAAAUUUGUAAAAUCAUAUCCUUUAAUGCCAAAGCAUCUGGGACUUGAUUCCCUCCAAAAUCAAAUUAUUUAAAAAUAGUUUUUGUUAAAUAGUUGCCUCUAGUGCAAUAAUAUUUAGAAAUAAAAUAGUUUUUCACCUCCAAAAUAAAUUCCAAAAAUUACGGGGUAGUUUAUCUUAUUGCAUUAAACCCCUUUCUAUUGACAAAACUCUAUGGGUUAAAGAAUUCCAAAAAGUAGCAAGGGAGAUUAAAAGGCAAAAGCUUAAUAAAAUAUUUUAAAUUUUAAAGCCUUGGUUUAAAAGUGUUCAAAGUGUAUAAAUGGCAUGAUGCUCAUGAGUGCAAAUGCAUAAUGCAAAGUUUGGGAAAAAUUGGGAUGUUACACUCUAAAACCUCAUUGAGGGUUAGAGAGUCAUGGCUGUAAAGAAUUUAAUCGCGGAAAUUUGUAUAGGAACUAGGCAACGAGCAUAAGAGU